AAAUUGAAGAGUUUGAUCAUGGCUCAGAUUGAACGCUGGCGGCAGGCCUAACACAUGCAAGUCGAGCGGUAGCACAGAGAGCUUGCUCUCGGGUGACGAGCGGCGGACGGGUGAGUAAUGUCUGGGAAACUGCCUGAUGGAGGGGGAUAACUACUGGAAACGGUAGCUAAUACCGCAUAACGUCGCAAGACCAAAGUGGGGGACCUUCGGGCCUCAUGCCAUCAGAUGUGCCCAGAUGGGAUUAGCUAGUAGGUGGGGUAAUGGCUCACCUAGGCGACGAUCCCUAGCUGGUCUGAGAGGAUGACCAGCCACACUGGAACUGAGACACGGUCCAGACUCCUACGGGAGGCAGCAGUGGGGAAUAUUGCACAAUGGGCGCAAGCCUGAUGCAGCCAUGCCGCGUGUAUGAAGAAGGCCUUCGGGUUGUAAAGUACUUUCAGCGAGGAGGAAGGCGUUAAGGUUAAUAACCUUGGCGAUUGACGUUACUCGCAGAAGAAGCACCGGCUAACUCCGUGCCAGCAGCCGCGGUAAUACGGAGGGUGCAAGCGUUAAUCGGAAUUACUGGGCGUAAAGCGCACGCAGGCGGUCUGUCAAGUCGGAUGUGAAAUCCCCGGGCUCAACCUGGGAACUGCAUUCGAAACUGGCAGGCUAGAGUCUUGUAGAGGGGGGUAGAAUUCCAGGUGUAGCGGUGAAAUGCGUAGAGAUCUGGAGGAAUACCGGUGGCGAAGGCGGCCCCCUGGACAAAGACUGACGCUCAGGUGCGAAAGCGUGGGGAGCAAACAGGAUUAGAUACCCUGGUAGUCCACGCCGUAAACGAUGUCGACUUGGAGGUUGUGCCCUUGAGGCGUGGCUUCCGGAGCUAACGCGUUAAGUCGACCGCCUGGGGAGUACGGCCGCAAGGUUAAAACUCAAAUGAAUUGACGGGGGCCCGCACAAGCGGUGGAGCAUGUGGUUUAAUUCGAUGCAACGCGAAGAACCUUACCUACUCUUGACAUCCAGAGAACUUAGCAGAGAUGCUUUGGUGCCUUCGGGAACUCUGAGACAGGUGCUGCAUGGCUGUCGUCAGCUCGUGUUGUGAAAUGUUGGGUUAAGUCCCGCAACGAGCGCAACCCUUAUCCUUUGUUGCCAGCGAUUCGGUCGGGAACUCAAAGGAGACUGCCAGUGAUAAACUGGAGGAAGGUGGGGAUGACGUCAAGUCAUCAUGGCCCUUACGAGUAGGGCUACACACGUGCUACAAUGGCAUAUACAAAGAGAAGCGACCUCGCGAGAGCAAGCGGACCUCAUAAAGUAUGUCGUAGUCCGGAUUGGAGUCUGCAACUCGACUCCAUGAAGUCGGAAUCGCUAGUAAUCGUAGAUCAGAAUGCUACGGUGAAUACGUUCCCGGGCCUUGUACACACCGCCCGUCACACCAUGGGAGUGGGUUGCAAAAGAAGUAGGUAGCUUAACCUUCGGGAGGGCGCUUACCACUUUGUGAUUCAUGACUGGGGUGAAGUCGUAACAAGGUAACCGUAGGGGAACCUGCGGUUGGAUCACCUCCUUA
RNAcentral lists this ribosomal RNA (1540 nucleotides) under Klebsiella aerogenes. RNAcentral's name for it is "bacterial SSU rRNA". It matches the Rfam family "Bacterial small subunit ribosomal RNA". The record is from RNAcentral. Lineage: Bacteria; Pseudomonadati; Pseudomonadota; Gammaproteobacteria; Enterobacterales; Enterobacteriaceae. RNAcentral also lists the same sequence under 3 other names.